AGCCAUGAGUCCCUGAUCGUCUCUCUCCCACCUGCGAAGCUAGCCUGGCAGGCAGGUGUCCCUUCCUCCCUCACCGCUCCAUGUGCACCCCUACCAAAGCUGUGCACUCUGUCAAGAGGAUGACCCUCCUUGAAUAGAGGUGGACAGGUCUUCAAUCGAGGGUAUAAGAGUAGCUGCGCUCCCCUGCUAGAACCUCCAAACAAGCUCUCAGAAGGAUGCACCUUUUUAUCACAUUGUAAUAAUAAAAGCCCUUCAUAUGUGUUAUCCUGAAUUGUACAGUUUGUGAGACUUU
Molecule: non-coding RNA, 292 nt
Organism: Erinaceus europaeus (western European hedgehog)
Lineage: Eukaryota; Metazoa; Chordata; Mammalia; Eulipotyphla; Erinaceidae
Source: Rfam